This is a long non-coding RNA of Athene cunicularia (burrowing owl), 127 nucleotides long. RefSeq lists it as uncharacterized. The record is from RefSeq and is a predicted model, not a curated record. The transcript is spliced from 3 exons. NCBI's taxonomy places the organism in Eukaryota, Metazoa, Chordata, Aves, Strigiformes, Strigidae.
GCUACUGAAAGCCCAGCUCACAUGACUCAGUUUAGGCAGGUCAGGCCAUGAGAUAAGUCAGAGCCCUGAAGCACCUCUCAGCUCCUCCACUGUCUGGGCCAAACCCCUCCAGGCACAAACAGAGGCA